Molecule: transfer RNA, 72 nt
Filed under: Sphaerodactylus townsendi
Lineage: Eukaryota; Metazoa; Chordata; Lepidosauria; Squamata; Sphaerodactylidae
Description: tRNA-Val
Rfam family: tRNA
About the family: Transfer RNA (tRNA) molecules are approximately 80 nucleotides in length. Their secondary structure includes four short double-helical elements and three loops (D, anti-codon, and T loops).
Source: RNAcentral
GGGACUGUGGCUCAGUGUUAGAGCAACUUCUUGACAUGCAGAAGAUCCCAGGUUCAAUUCCUGACAUUUCCA